Cucurbita pepo subsp. pepo (vegetable marrow) is the source of this 99-nucleotide small nuclear RNA. The record is from RefSeq and is a predicted model, not a curated record. Lineage: Eukaryota; Viridiplantae; Streptophyta; Magnoliopsida; Cucurbitales; Cucurbitaceae.
GUUCGAGAACCUCCAAUAAAAUUGAAACGAUAUGGAGAAGAUUAGCAUGACCCCCUAAUAAAGAUAACAAACACAAAUUAAAAAAUAAUCCAAAUCUUG